Molecule: small nuclear RNA, 166 nt
Gene: U1
Rfam family: U1 spliceosomal RNA
About the family: U1 is a small nuclear RNA (snRNA) component of the spliceosome (involved in pre-mRNA splicing). Its 5' end forms complementary base pairs with the 5' splice junction, thus defining the 5' donor site of an intron.
Source: Ensembl
AUACUUACCUAACAGGGGAAAUACCAUGAUUACAAAGGUAGCUGCUCAGGGUGAGGUUUAUCCAUUGUACUCUAGGUGUGCUGCUGGUCCCUGUGAUUUCCCCAAAUGUGGGAAGCUAAGCUGCAUGACUUCUGGUAGUGGGGAACUGUGUUCUGGUUUCCCCUAU